UCCAGACUCCUACGGGAGGCAGCAGUGGGGGAUAUUGCACAAUGGGGGGAACCCUGAUGCAGCGACGCCGCGUGGGUGAAGAAGCGCCUCGGCGCGUAAAGCCCUAUCGGCAGGGAAGAAGGAGGACGGUACCUGACUAAGAAGCCCCGGCUAACUACGUGCCAGCAGCCGCGGUAAUACGUAGGGGGCAAGCGUUAUCCGGAUUUACUGGGUGUAAAGGGGGCGCAGACGGCAGCGCAAGCCAGGAGUGAAAGCCCGGGGCCCAACCCCGGGACUGCUCUUGGAACUGCGCGGCUGGAGUGCAGGAGGGGCAGGCGGAAUUCCUGGUGUAGCGGUGAAAUGCGUAGAUAUUAGGAGGAACACCGGUGGCGAAGGCGGCCUGCUGGACUGUGACUGACGUUGAGGCCCGAAGGCGUGGGGAGCAAACAGGAUUAGAUACCCGCGUAGU
Molecule: ribosomal RNA, 448 nt
Filed under: uncultured bacterium
Lineage: Bacteria
Description: partial 16S ribosomal RNA
Rfam family: Bacterial small subunit ribosomal RNA
Source: RNAcentral